AGGCAGCAGCGAAGAAUAGUCUACAAUGGUCGCAAGAAUGAUAGUGCGACGCCGCGUGAACGAGGAAGCCCUUCGGGGUGUAAAGUUCUUUUAUAUGUGAGCAGUGGUUUCUAUGUAAACAGCAUGGGGACAGAGAUAUUAGCAUAUGAAUAAGCAACGGCUAACUCCGUGCCAGCAGCCGCGGUAAU
RNAcentral lists this ribosomal RNA (188 nucleotides) under uncultured bacterium. RNAcentral describes it as "partial 16S ribosomal RNA". It matches the Rfam family "Bacterial small subunit ribosomal RNA", at positions 346 to 524 of the family's 1533-position model. The record is from RNAcentral.